GCCCUCUCAGGGUCGCACCUGGAGAGUUUCCAUCACUCUCCCAGUCUCGACUGCUGGAGGGGGAGUCAAUUAUAGGCCUAUCCAUUCCAUUCCUAGCUUGGGCAGUGGCUAGCGAGUGGAAGGCGAUCUGCUACAAGU
Small nucleolar RNA from Ornithorhynchus anatinus (platypus), 138 nucleotides. Lineage: Eukaryota; Metazoa; Chordata; Mammalia; Monotremata; Ornithorhynchidae. The record is from RefSeq and is a predicted model, not a curated record.